RNAcentral lists this ribosomal RNA (521 nucleotides) under Alternaria sp. ES05. RNAcentral describes it as "eukaryotic LSU rRNA". The stretch from base 176 to 329 matches the Rfam family "5.8S ribosomal RNA". The record is from RNAcentral. Lineage: Eukaryota; Fungi; Ascomycota; Dothideomycetes; Pleosporales; Pleosporaceae.
GGGAUCAUUACACAAAUAUGAAGGCGGGCUGGAACCUCUCGGGGUUACAGCCUUGCUGAAUUAUUCACCCUUGUCUUUUGCGUACUUCUUGUUUCCUUGGUGGGUUCGCCCACCACUAGGACAAACAUAAACCUUUUGUAAUUGCAAUCAGCGUCAGUAACAAAUUAAUAAUUACAACUUUCAACAACGGAUCUCUUGGUUCUGGCAUCGAUGAAGAACGCAGCGAAAUGCGAUAAGUAGUGUGAAUUGCAGAAUUCAGUGAAUCAUCGAAUCUUUGAACGCACAUUGCGCCCUUUGGUAUUCCAAAGGGCAUGCCUGUUCGAGCGUCAUUUGUACCCUCAAGCUUUGCUUGGUGUUGGGCGUCUUGUCUCUAGCUUUGCUGGAGACUCGCCUUAAAGUAAUUGGCAGCCGGCCUACUGGUUUCGGAGCGCAGCACAAGUCGCACUCUCUAUCAGCAAAGGUCUAGCAUCCAUUAAGCCUUUUUUUCAACUUUUGACCUCGGAUCAGGUAGGAUACCCGCU